UCCCAGACUCCUACGGGAGGCAGCAGCGGGGGAUAUUGCACAAUGGGGGGAACCCUGAUGUAGCGACGCCGCGUGGGUGAAGAAGUAUUUCGGUAUGUAAAGCCCUAUCGGCAGGGAAGAAAUUGGACGGUACCUGACUAAGAAGCCCCGGCUAACUACGUGCCAGCAGCCGCGGUAAUACGUAGGGGGCAAGCGUUAUCCGGAUUCACUGGGUGUAAAGGGAGCGUAGACGGCCAUGCAAGCCUGGAGUGAAAGGCGGGGGCUCAACCCCCGGACUGCUCUGGAAACUGUACGGCUGGAGUGCAGGAGAGGUAAGUGGAAUUCCUAGUGUAGCGGUGAAAUGCGUAGAUAUUAGGAGGAACACCAGUGGCGAAGGCGGCUUACUGGACUGUAACUGACGUUGAGGCUCGAAAGCGUGGGGAGCAAACAGGAUUAGAUACCCGGGUA
RNAcentral lists this ribosomal RNA (447 nucleotides) under uncultured bacterium. RNAcentral describes it as "bacterial SSU rRNA". It matches the Rfam family "Bacterial small subunit ribosomal RNA", at positions 329 to 792 of the family's 1533-position model. The record is from RNAcentral.